This 397-nucleotide ribosomal RNA is filed under the name uncultured bacterium. RNAcentral describes it as "partial 16S ribosomal RNA". It matches the Rfam family "Bacterial small subunit ribosomal RNA", at positions 523 to 918 of the family's 1533-position model. The record is from RNAcentral.
AUACGUAGGGGGCGAGCGUUGUCCGGAAUGAUUGGGCGUAAAGGGCGCGUGGGCGGCCCGGUAAGUCUGGAGUGAAAGUCCUGUUUUUAAGAUGGGAAUUGCUUUGGAUACUGUCGGGCUUGAGUGCAGGAGAGGUAAGUGGAAUUCCCAGUGUAGCGGUGAAAUGCGUAGAGAUUGGGAGGAACACCAGUGGCGAAGGCGACUUACUGGACUGUAACUGACGCUGAGGCGCGAAAGUGUGGGGAGCAAACAGGAUUAGAUACCCUGGUAGUCCACGCUGUAAACGAUGAAUGCUAGGUAUAGGGGGUAUCGACCCCUUCUGUGCCGCAGUCAACACAAUAAGCAUUCCGCCUGGGGAGUACGGCCGCAAGGUUGAAACUCAAAUGAAUUGACGGGG